This is a long non-coding RNA of Ziziphus jujuba (common jujube), 2161 nucleotides long. RefSeq lists it as uncharacterized. The record is from RefSeq and is a predicted model, not a curated record. Lineage: Eukaryota; Viridiplantae; Streptophyta; Magnoliopsida; Rosales; Rhamnaceae. The transcript has 3 exons.
GCAAAAGAGAAAAAAAGGGGUGGUGGUUGUUUGGUUGCAAACCCUAAAAGAAAACAGAAAUCUAGUGAGAGGGGGUUGAAUCUGCAGAAAAAUGGGUAUGCGGUGGGUUGUCGGUGAUAAUGAGCGUGAAGUGAGUUUGAAUGUUGAAAACUGAAGAUUGGGAAUCCAGUCAUUGCGAAGAAUAGGUAAACAAAAAAGAAAAGGGGAGGGGGCAAGGGACGGACACCAAAGAGAGACUGACAGAAGAGAGUGAGCACUCGCUGCUGGGAAUUGUAUGAGAUGGGCAUACAAUUAAGCAGUGAGUGCUCACUUCUCUUUUUGUCAGGUUCCAUUUCUUUUUGACUGUGUUUCCUCACCUUCCUCCACUCUUUCUUACUUUUUCUUCCUCCACACCAAAAUCCAUCCCCACCCCCUUUGCGAAUUUGCUUCUUCUUUAUUCUUCUUCUCUCUUAAUUUAUUAUUAUUAGUCUUAGAUGUUGUCAACUAGUUGUUCCCAGCUUCCUGAUGUCUUUCUAAAAUGAAAAAGAAAACCCUAAAAUAAAUAAAUAAAGUUUAAGAAUAAAAAAAUUAAUUAUCUAAAUCCAUCGGGAUAAAUAAAUUUAAUAAAUAUUUUGACGUCACUGUUAAUAAAAUAUUAUUGUUCAGAUUCCUAACCAUUCACCAAAACACAGACCUUUCUAAUUUUACCCUCAGACUCUGUUUUAACACUUUUAAUCCGACCCAUUUUCUCCACAGAUUUGGCAAACUUAGCGAAAGAAAUCAUGAACUGAACCUUUAAGCAGUUGUUCGAUAAAAGACCGUAAAAGUGUGUGUAUCCCAUUGGAAAACAUCUCUUGGCUUGAGUAGAUCGGUGCAGUAGCUGAGGUCAAACGUACACCACGGCUUCCUGUGUCCAUCCAAACUUUUUUUGCACCUAAAGCAUCAAUUUAGUAACAGAUAAAGAAUGUUGUUUCUGUUUCUAUAAACAGUAUGAAUCUGUAAAGCAAUGGAUAAAGUGUGGAUUGAAUUAGCUUUACCGGUCCUUUUAGGUUAGACCAAGUCCUUUUACAUCAUUAUUAGCAAAUGGAGCUGGUAUGGCUCUGGUUUCUGAUAUUCUUGAGAUUAUUCCAUCUCUAGUACCAUUGACGUUAAUCUCAAAAUCGGAAACCCUAAAAAGUUAAAUGCACUAGAAACCUAAAUCAACUGGAAAAUUUGGUGUGUUAUAUAACCAAAGCAUUAAUUUAACGAAACGCUAAAUAAAUUCAGACUCAAAACCAGAGACCCCAUGAACCGAAACCCAGAAACCUUAAAAACCGUAAAGAAAUAUAAGACCUAAAAAUCACCUUAAAAACCGUAAAGAAAUAUAAAAGACCUAAAAAUCAAACUUAAACCCAGAAACCUUAAAUACUGUAAACAAAUAUGAAAGACCUAAAAAUCAAACUCCAUUCAGAAACCCCAUAAACACAAAGCCGGAAACCUUAAAAACUGUAGACAAAUAUCAAAAACUAAAAAUCAAACUCAAACCCAGAUCUGUCCAAAAUAAUAAUAAUAAUAGGAAGGCAUCCAGAUCAGUUCAAAAUAAAAAUAAAAAAAUAAAAAAACUCAAACCCAGAAACCCAGAUCAGUACCAAAACAAAGAGGAAAAAACAACUCAAAUCCAUCAACCCCAGAUAAAUUCAGCGCGCUAGAAGCCCCUAAAUCAAGUAAUAAUCGAAAAUUUUGUGUAAUAUAAACGUAUGAAGUAAAACCCCUAAAUUAAUUAAACCAAAAAAUUAACCCUAAACAACAAAAAAAUUAAAUAAAUAAAAACCCUAAUUUCGUCCCAAAAUGUCCUGUGCUUUCAAAACGAAGCCCGACAAAAAGCCCUAAAACAAACAAGAAGUUGGCAUAAAAACCUCAUUCAAUGUCUAGCGAAUUCGCAGAGUCCUCGUUGCUCAAGAACGUUGCUGGGUUUGCAAAUUUGUUAAGAGGUUGCGUGUGGUUAUAUGACAAUUGCUGUUUCCAAGCUGCUUUGGAAGGAAGAGUUGUUGACGCCAAAUCAAUGGAACCAAAAUCCAACUGUUUUCUUUCUUCACUCAUAUGGAAUCCAUCAGAACCCUGACGCCGAAGGACAGGUUGAGGGUGGAGAAAACGAAAAAGCCUUGGGGGAUUUCUGGAGGCUCAAAACUGACAUAUCCUCUCG